Coturnix japonica (Japanese quail) is the source of this 3351-nucleotide non-coding RNA. The record is from RefSeq and is a predicted model, not a curated record. Lineage: Eukaryota; Metazoa; Chordata; Aves; Galliformes; Phasianidae.
AUGGGGCUGCAUGCUGGGUUGAAGUCCCAGGCUUUGAGGGUCUCCUCCAGGCUCUGGAGGCUGCAGCCCAGUAAGGAAAGGGCAAGAGUGAUAGGUGUGGAGGUGACAGCUACAGAUUCCAUCUUGGGGAGCAUGCAGACUCGUGUCAGCAAAAUUUCACCGAAUGAAUAGCAGAUGCUCUGCAGCGCCUGGCAGUUACGUGGUGGAAAGAUGAACUUCCACUCACGUUGGGUUUUACAGAACGGAUAUAAAUCUGCUCCCUUAUCAGUUCAGCAGCUUAUCACAACUGCAUAGAUAGGAAAGGACAAGUGGAGUGCGUGCAUGCCAAGAAACAGUGGCAUGGCAUGGAGUAGAGUAACCAGGCAAACCUCAGCCCAGGAGAAAAUGAAGUCAAACUUUCUAUAGUUCUUUGAAAGAGCACUGCCAGCAGCUGAAUUUUAUCCUGUGGAAAAGCCAAGCUGAAAGCUUUCCUUAUCUGUAUUGCUGUUGUGCCAGGGAUAAUCUAGAACUGGUUCCCAAUUGCUGUGUUGGCGCUGCUCCCAGCUCAAGGAGGAGCACUGCUGCAGUUCCUCGUCUGUCCUCCAUGAGGCACCCACCUGGGGCCACUGGAAGGGACUGGCAAUGCCCAGAGAAGUCUCUGCCAGAGCUACGCUCUCCUGGUUCUUCUCCAGCACUCUGUUGUACUCUUGCAUCAUGUCUCAGGCCUUGAUAACACGUUCAAUUUGUUCUGUUUAUCACUGGGAACAUGGGCUGUGCAACAACAAACACUGUUCCAUUCUCAGACAGAGCAGCUCAGCACCAUGGGUUGGCUGCAUCCCUCUGCUUCAGUCCUGGGCUCGCUGGCAGCAGUGAAAGAAUCUUGUUGGGUUUGUGAAGCUCAGAAUCAUGGACAACCUCUGAGGCUGAAGUUACAGCCCAGCUGGACCUGAUUGCAACAUGGUACAGGGGAAACACCUUUCCCUUUCAAGCCUUUGGAACCAGUUCAGUCCUGGAAAGCAGUCCCUGUGACCAUAGGAACUUAUGCAUAUCAGGCCUUUCAUUGUCAGAUGGAUAACUUCACACAGAAAAUGUUUUGACUCCCAAAUGUUGCUCCUUGAAAGUUUUCUGGACCUGGCACACGUUUGUCUUUGAAUCUCUUACUACUCUCUAGCUUUUCUCUAGUCACAGUAGUACAAGUGAAAGCGUGCCACUGGACCUUUUCACAAAGGUGCAUUCAUAAGAGUUUCCUUUACUUUGAUUUCUAUCCUAAAACAUCAGCAGUUCUGCAAGAUCUUUUCUAAUCACAGCCUCAUGUUUCUGGGUUCUAGGAACAGCCUUUCUGUUUUGCUGCAUGUGAGGUUCUCCUGCCUCCCUGUAACUGGGCACAGAGAAAACAGCAGUUGGAGAGAAGAUGAGAGCUGAGAGAUGGUUCCUGGGCAUCCUCUGCUGGCAUAUAUCAAAGGCUUACAUCUGGUAUGUAAGGUGUUAUGGAGAUCCAGCAAGGGACAUUUACACUCAUCCAAAGCCUGAUCUGCCUUGCAUACGAGUCCUUCAUGGCUCUUUCACUUCCAGCAUUAGCCCACCCUUGCACUGGCCCCUGCAGGAGACCACUGCUGCCUUCAGCAACCCAGUUGUGUGCUUGCACACUCCAUCACGUUUGAGGAAGAAAACAACAGAAUUCAUGCUCUAAAUUGUACCAUUUGGAGCUCCCAAGGAUUUAGACGGGAUGGCUAAGCCGAGCAUCCUGAACUCCUAGUCAAACUCAUGAUACAGGACACCACCCGUGUCAGCCCGAAACUGCAUUGUAGAUCACAAUCAGUGACGACGCAUUUGAACCAACUUUUGAUGCAAUCUUUCAAGAAAAGAAAAAAAACCCACACCAGCAUCCGCAAAAAACCAGGGGAGAACCACUGACGUAAAACUCAUGGUACUUAAACACCACUUGGCUGUCCCCAUCCACAGCUCCCGAGCCAACAAGCAGCUCGAACACCAGCAUCUCACAAGCCUCCUGCUGCCUGAGCCACCAUGGAACGCCAAGCAGAAAUCACGUUUGUGAUCUUCCUCCUCUGUUCACUGGCUCCUUUGGUCUCCUUGGCACCAAGAGCUGCCUCAGAAGAAGGGAAAACUACUAUAGGACAGAGCCAGAAGCAUACUACCAGCAUAAAGCCCUUUCUAGUGCUAGAAAAGAAAGCAACUACCUUGUUCAAAAACUAUAACGCGUGUACUCCCAUAACAGAAACAACCAAAACCUGGCUAACUGCUGACACCCAAGUCAAUGAAAUGAUGAAGAAAAUACCCAAAUGCCCAGCUGUGGAAGCAGACUGCUGCAUGCACGUAUUUUACAAUGUUUUAGAAACCCUAAAAAGCGAUAUAGAAACGAUUUGUGGUAAGAAUUUCACCAAAUUUGUGAAUGCCAACACCAUCCAGUUAGACACAACACUGAUGGAAAGACACGCGUUUCACAGCUGCGAGAACAAGGAGCUUCUGCAGGGUAUUCACAGCGACAUCCGUGCACUGAGAACAGCACGGAAGAUGAUGUACAUUUGGCGGGUUUUAGAGAAAUAUGAACAAUUUAUUCAAAACGCAACAAAAUCGUACGAGUCAGGAGAAAUGUAAUAUGUCCGGGUGAAAAUAUAACUGCAGGAUCUCAAAGCUUUAACCAUAUGUGACCAUCCAUCAUUUAUGAUCAGUCUGAUGCCAGGAACAACAUUAAUAAUGUAUUUGCUAUCCUAGUCAUAGCUACACAAUCUGGUUUAAUUUAAUAUUUAAAAGAUGAAUGUCUUAAGUUAUUGAUUUUAUUUAUUAUAAAACUAUUUAUACUGUUCUAUUUCAACAUCGUGUAAAAAGGGUGCACUUACGUAAGCCAGAGUGGUUUAAUUAAAUGGCUAUUGUAUGAAUUAGCAAAAAGGUAAGCAUGAUUUCAGUGAUUUUAAUGUUAUUUAUAUUUUUAUCUUAUAAUUAUUUCCAAGAGACAGAAAUGAAUGCCAGCAGACUUACCAGUGAGUAUUUAUGGAUGUAUGGAAUACAUAUCUGUCUAAAUUUAUUUAAGCAUUUUUAUAGUUUAUAUUUAUUCAGAUUUUUAAUGUUUAUACUUUAAUGCUUGAAAGGGUUGAAUGAGAUGCUCACAACUUAGGUGGACAGUUUUACUCGUUUUCUGUAUAUUUGGAUAAAACCUGGCACUGGAUUAAAAUGAGAUUAAAUAAAACUUAUACUGCUGAUUCUUUAUUAUGUAAUUCUUUUCUUUCUCUGGUAUUUUGAACAUCGAAAACCCAUGGUUUUAUUAAACAGCAAACGUCCCCAUCCACUUCUUGCUGAUAGAUCUGAAGAAAGAUCACAGCAGCUUUUCUCCCUAAGCUCCCAAUUGGUUUCCUA